GCCCGGAUGGCGGAAUUGGUAGACGCAAGGGACUUAAAAUCCCUGGACCCGAAACGGUCGUGCGAGUUCAAGUCUCGCUCUGGGCACCA
This 89-nucleotide transfer RNA is filed under the name Desulfovibrio sp. RNAcentral's name for it is "tRNA-Leu". It matches the Rfam family "tRNA". Rfam says of the family: Transfer RNA (tRNA) molecules are approximately 80 nucleotides in length. Their secondary structure includes four short double-helical elements and three loops (D, anti-codon, and T loops). Further hydrogen bonds mediate the characteristic L-shaped molecular structure. tRNAs have two regions of fundamental functional importance: the anti-codon, which is responsible for specific mRNA codon recognition, and the 3' end, to which the tRNAs corresponding amino acid is attached (by aminoacyl-tRNA synthetases). tRNAs cope with the degeneracy of the genetic code in two manners: having more than one tRNA (with a specific anti-codon) for a particular amino acid; and 'wobble' base-pairing, i.e. permitting non-standard base-pairing at the 3rd anti-codon position. RNAcentral also lists the same sequence under 2 other names. The record is from RNAcentral. Lineage: Bacteria; Pseudomonadati; Thermodesulfobacteriota; Desulfovibrionia; Desulfovibrionales; Desulfovibrionaceae.